RNAcentral lists this ribosomal RNA (441 nucleotides) under uncultured bacterium. RNAcentral describes it as "partial 16S ribosomal RNA". It matches the Rfam family "Bacterial small subunit ribosomal RNA", at positions 338 to 795 of the family's 1533-position model. The record is from RNAcentral.
CCUACGGGUGGCUGCAGUGGGGGAUAUUGCACAAUGGGGGGAACCCUGAUGCCGCGACGCCGCGUGGGUGAAGGAGCGUUUCGGCGCGUACAGCCCUAUCGGCAGGGAAGAAGGAGGACGGUACCUGACUAAGAAGCCCCGGCUACCUACGUGCCCGCCGCCGCGGUAAUACUGAGGGGGCAAGCGUUAUCCGGAUUUACUGGGUGUAAAGGGGGCGCAGACGGCAGCGCAAGCCAUGAGGGAAAGCCCGGGGCCCAACCCCGGGACUGCUCUUGGAACGGCUCGGCUGGAGUGCAGGAGGGGCAGGCGGAAUUCCUGGUGUAGCGGUGAAAGGCGUAGAUAUCAGGAGGAACACCGGUGGCGAAGGCGGCCUGCUGGACUGCGACUGACGUUGAGGCCCGAAAGCGUGGGGAGCAAACAGGAUUAGAUACCCCAGUAGUC